UACAGAGGUCUCAAGCGUUGUUCGGAUUCAUUGGGCGUAAAGGGUGCGUAGGUGGCGUGGUAAGUCGGGUGUGAAAUUUCGGAGCUUAACUCCGAAACUGCAUUCGAUACUGCCGUGCUUGAGGACUGGAGAGGUGACUGGAAUUUACGGUGUAGCAGUGAAAUGCGUAGAGAUCGUAAGGAAGACCAGUGGCGAAGGCGGGUCUCUGGACGGUUAUUGACGCUGAGACGCGAAAGCGUGGGGAGCAAACAGG
Molecule: ribosomal RNA, 253 nt
Filed under: uncultured bacterium
Lineage: Bacteria
Description: partial 16S ribosomal RNA
Rfam family: Bacterial small subunit ribosomal RNA
Source: RNAcentral